This is a long non-coding RNA of Cyanistes caeruleus (blue tit), 1719 nucleotides long. The record is from Ensembl. Lineage: Eukaryota; Metazoa; Chordata; Aves; Passeriformes; Paridae.
CUGGUAAGUGAUAGGUGAGAGGGCUGCACAUGUCUGAAUCAGCACUGGUUUUAUUCUUAGGUGUUUUAGCCUGAUUAGAAAUUCCUCUCUUCCUGUUACUCAGGUGUCAGGAUUACUGCUGUAGAAAACAUCUGCUUUUAGGGAAAAGAGAUAAAUAAUUCAAAUAUCAUACUGGAAGUGACACUCUUCUACCACCGUAGAGAUGUUUUCCAGGGCCUUCUAGCAGUCAUAAUCAUUGUGACGUCUCUACUCUGUGAUGCUGGCACUGUUGAAGGGAGUAGCAAUUGUAAGGCCUGUUUUACCUUCAUGCUGCACUAAACCCAUGGCAUGUAAGAAAUGGACCUUCCCAGUGGUACCUUUUGUUUCCAAAUCAUUGCCACGCGAGUGGACUUUUGGAAUGCCGGGAGCUCUGGCUAAGGCACAGGGUCCCGUGCAUGAGUGGCAGCAGUCACAUGUCAGGGUUGCUGUGAUGUCUCAGCUGUCUGAAGAUGAGCUUGUGCUUCAGCUGUCACUGAACUGCACCAAGGGACAGCACUCUUCGUAAAGUGGUCUUUAAAACACACAGCUCUCCUGUUCAGCCAUAAAACCCGGGAACAUGAAGUGAUGUGUGAGCUAUUUUAAAUGUUGAUUUUCAAAUCCUUCCUGUUUUAAACAUUGAAAGUUGAUAACAAUGCUGAUGAAAUACACCCAAUGUUAUUUUUAUCUAAUUGCAAGUCACUCCCAUGGUCUAUUGGAAAUGUGCUGGGAUUUACAGACAACAUUCAAGUAGCUGGACUGUGCUCUGAACAGUGAUGCAGUGAGAAAGCAGCUCCAGAUUCAGUGGAGUAAAUGCUGCUCAGGCCUCAAUCUGCAGCUGCCCAUUACCACAGGCUGUUGCAUGGACAGGGCAAAUCUGUAAAUCUUCCGCCUGUGACUAAGCCAUGCCAGAACUCUGUGCUGCAAACUGUGAAGAGGAAGGAUCUGUGCUACACACUGGGGACCUGUGGAUAUUCUGGUGUUCUUCUGCACUUGUCUGAACUCUGAGAGCUGCACCUCACCUAUGCAAUUUGGCAGUGUGGUGCUACUGCAAAGCACGAUGCAGUGUUGGCACAGCAAGGAUUUCUAAUUAAGAUGUCUCUACUGCUUUAAAACUGUCACUCAAAAUGGGUUUCUUUUUGGCUUUGGGGGAGUGGGAGAUUUUUUUUCUGAGUGACCUUAACUUACCCAGGCUAUACAAUGGAUGGCAUGAUCAGGACAGUCACAGUGACCAUUUCUUGCUCUGUAGUCCUCCCCCAACAUCUUUUGUCCAAAAUACAUCGGAUCCAUUCAUGAGGUUUUCUUCUUCCAGUCUUACACUAUUCCUAAAAAAUUCACAAAGGCAGAAUUGAAAUUCCAAAAAAUAAUGCCAGCAGGAAACAGAAUGGAGACUGAAGCGUUCCUAUCUAGAGAAAGAGCCAACAAAGAGAAUAUUGUUUUCAUUUUGUAGAAGUUUAUUGUCAAAUUACUUUGACCUAAGCUUUAGACUUAUCUAUAUGUUUCUCAGUAGGAAAAUUUGAAAUGCUGACUGAAUGGCAUCAGUGCUCUUGGUACAGUAAUCUCAUGACAUCUUUUGCGGUCAGUCUUUAUGCUCACCAUGAUAAAACAACAGCCAAAAAGGGCACAUUAUGUCUAAUUGCCCUCACUCAAACUUGGAUGCUAUGUAAUGGACAAAUAAAAAUCAGCAAACGUUUUCUUGACUCA